RNAcentral lists this ribosomal RNA (385 nucleotides) under uncultured organism. Its description in RNAcentral is "bacterial SSU rRNA". It matches the Rfam family "Bacterial small subunit ribosomal RNA", at positions 45 to 433 of the family's 1533-position model. The record is from RNAcentral.
UGCUUUACACAUGCAAGUCGAACGGCAGCACGGACUUCGGUCUGGUGGCGAGUGGCGAACGGGUGAGUAAUAUAUCGGAACGUAUCCAAUAAUGGGGGAUAACUAAUCGAAAGGUUGGCUAAUACCGCAUACGCCCUGAGGGGGAAAGCUAGGGAUCUUCGGACCUGGCGUUAAUGGAGCGGCUGAUAUCUGAUUAGCUAGUUGGUGAGGUAAAGGCUCACCAAGGCAUCGAUCAGUAGCUGGUCUGAGAGGACGACCAGCCACACUGGAACUGAGACACGGUCCAGACUCCUACGGGAGGCAGCAGUGGGGAAUUUUGGACAAUGGCGAAAGCCUGAUCCAGCCAUUCCGCGUGAGUGAAGAAGGCCUUCGGGUUGUAAAGCUC